Molecule: ribosomal RNA, 1498 nt
Filed under: uncultured Armatimonadota bacterium
Lineage: Bacteria; Bacillati; Armatimonadota
Description: bacterial SSU rRNA
Rfam family: Bacterial small subunit ribosomal RNA
Source: RNAcentral
UAGAGUUUGAUCAUGGCUCAGGACGAACGCUUGCGGCGUGCCUAAGAAAUGCAAGUCGAACGGACACCGGAGCAAUCCGGUGUUAGUGGCGAACGGUCGCGUAACACGUAGGCAACCUGCCCUGAAGUGGGGGACAACAGCCCGAAAGGGCUGCUAAUACCGCAUGUGAACAACGAAUUGCAUGGUUUGUUGUUCAAAGGCUUCCAGCAAUGGGGGUCGCUUUGGGAUGGGCUUGCGGCCUAUCAGGUAGUUGGUGGGGUAAUGGCCCACCAAGCCGACGACGGGUAGCUGGUCUGAGAGGACGAUCAGCCGGAUUGGGACUGAGAUACGGCCCAGACUCCUACGGGGGGCAGCAAUUAGGAAUCUUGCGCAAUGGGCGAAAGCCUGACGCAGCGACGCCGCGUGCGGGAUGAAGGCCUUCGGGUCGUAAACCGCUUUUAACGGGGAAGAAGAAUGUGACGGUACCCGUUGAAUAAGCCCCGGCUAACUACGUGCCAGCAGCCGCGGUAAUACGUAGGGGGCGAGCGUUGUCCGAAGUUACUGGGCGUAAAGCGCGCGUAGGCGGUUGCCUAAGUCUGGGGUGAAAGGUUCAGGGCUUAACCCGAACAGUGCCUUGGAUACUGGGCGACUUGAGUGCCGAAGAGGAAAGCGGAAUUCCUGGUGUAGCGGUGAAAUGCGUAGAUAUCAGGAGGAACACCGAUGGCGAAGGCAGCUUUCUGGUCGGUAACUGACGCUGAGGUGCGAAAGCGUGGGGAGCGAACGGGAUUAGAUACCCCGGUAGUCCACGCCGUAAACGAUGAGUGCUAGGUGUCGGGGGUAUCGACCCCUCCGGUGCCGCCGCUAACGCAUUAAGCACUCCGCCUGGGGAGUACGGCCGCAAGGUUGAAACUCAAAGGAAUUGACGGGGGCCCGCACAAGCGGUGGAGCAUGUGGUUUAAUUCGUCACUAACCGAAGGACCUUACCCAGGCUUGACAUCGCGUGAAAGGCUGUGAAAGCAGUCCCCCUCGCAAGAGGCACAAAGACAGGUGUUGCAUGGCUGUCGUCAGCUCGUGUCGUGAGAUGUUGGGUUAAGUCCCGCAACGAGCGCAACCCUCACCCCAUGUUGCCAGCGUCAAGUCGGGCACUCUUGGGGAACUGCCCGUGCAAGCGGGAGGAAGGUGGGGAUGACGUCAAGUCGGCAUGGCCCUUACGCCUGGGGCUACACACAUGCUACAAUGGACGGCAACAAACGGUACCGAGACCGCGAGGUGGAGGCAAUCCGAGAAAUACGUCCUCAGUUGGGAUUGCAGGCUGCAACUCGCCUGCAUGAACGUGGAAUCGCUAGUAACCGCAGGUCAGCUAAACUGCGGUGAAUACGUUCCCGGGCCUUGUACACACCGCCCGUCAAGUCACCUGAAUUGUCUGCAGCCGAAGCCGAUGGCCUAACCCGGUUUACUGGGAGGGAGUCGUCGACGCUGUGGGGAGUAAGGGGGACUAAGUCGUAACAAGGUAACCGUA